GAUGAACGCUGGCGGCGUGCCUAAUACAUGCAAGUCGAGCGAACGGACGAGAAGCUUGCUUUUCUGAUGUUAGCGGCGGACGGGUGAGUAACACGUGGAUAACCUACCUAUAAGACUGGGAUAACUUCGGGAAACCGGAGCUAAUACCGGAUAAUAUUUUGAACCGCAUGGUUCAAAAGUGAAAGACGGUCUUGCUGUCACUUAUAGAUGGAUCCGCGCUGCAUUAGCUAGUUGGUAAGGUAACGGCUUACCAAGGCAACGAUGCGUAGCCGGCCUGAGAGGGUGACCGGCCACAUGGGGACUGAGAUACGGCCCAGACUCCUACGGGAGGCAGCAGUGGGGAAUAUUGCACAAUGGGCGGAAGCCUGAUGCAGCAGCGCCGCGUGCGGGAUGACGGCCUUCGGGUUGUAAACCGCUUUCGCCUGUGACGAAGCGUGAGUGACGGUAAUGGGUAAAGAAGCACCGGCUAACUACGUG
This 477-nucleotide ribosomal RNA is filed under the name uncultured bacterium. Its description in RNAcentral is "partial 16S ribosomal RNA". It matches the Rfam family "Bacterial small subunit ribosomal RNA", at positions 28 to 507 of the family's 1533-position model. The record is from RNAcentral.